Molecule: ribosomal RNA, 759 nt
Filed under: uncultured bacterium
Lineage: Bacteria
Description: bacterial SSU rRNA
Rfam family: Bacterial small subunit ribosomal RNA
Source: RNAcentral
AGAGUUUGAUCAUGGCUCAGCCUGAACGCUGGCGGCGUGGCUAAGACAUGCAAGUCGCACGGUGUAGCAAUACACAGUGGCGAACGGGUGAGUAAUGUAUCGCUAAUGUGCCCCGGACUCUGAGAUAGCCAUCCGAAAGGGUGGGUAAUAUCAGAUGAUAUACCUUUAUCGCAUGAUAGAGGUCUCAAAGGUCCGCCGGUCUGGGAGCAGGCGAUAUCGUAUCAGGUAGUUGGUGAGGUAACGGCUCACCAAGCCGACGACGCGUAGCUGGUCUGAGAGGACGGCCAGCCACAUCGGAACUGAGACACUGUCCGGACUCCUACGGGGGGCUGCAGUAACGAAUCUUCCACAAUGCACGAAAGUGUGAUGGAGCGACGCCGCGUGUAGGACGAAGUCCUUCGGGAUGUAAACUACUGUCAGGGGAAAGAAAGUUCUGAUCUACCCCAGAGGAAGAGGCGGCUAACUCUGUGCCAGCAGCCGCGGUAAUACAGAGGCCUCGAGCGUUAGGCGGAAUCACUGGGCUUAAAGCGUGUGUAGGUGGAUGCCUAAGUACCUUGUGAAAUCCCACGGCUUAACCGUGGAACUGCUUGGUAUACUGGGUGUCUUGAGCCACUCAGGGGCUACCGGAACAAAUGGUGGAGCGGUGAAAUGCGUAGAUAUCAUUUGGAACGCCAAUGGUGAAAACAGGUAGCUGGGGGUGUGCUGACACUGAGACACGAAAGCCAGGGGAGCGAACGGGAUUAGAUACCCCUGUAGUCC